This 266-nucleotide ribosomal RNA is filed under the name uncultured bacterium. RNAcentral describes it as "partial 16S ribosomal RNA". It matches the Rfam family "Bacterial small subunit ribosomal RNA", at positions 793 to 1055 of the family's 1533-position model. The record is from RNAcentral.
GUACACGCCCUAAACGAUGUCAACUGGUUGUUGGAGGAGUUAAAUCCUUUAGUAACGAAGCUAACGCGUGAAGUUGACCGCCUGGGAAGUACGGCCGCAAGGUUAAAACUCAAAGGAAUUGACGGGGGCCCGCACAAGCGGUGGAUUAUGUGGAUUAAUUCGAUGCAACGCGAAAAACCUUACCUACCCUUGACAUGCUAGGAACUUGCCAGAGAUGGCUUGGUGCCCGAAAGGGAACCUAGACACAGGUGCUGCAUGGCUGUCGU